This 29-nucleotide ribosomal RNA is filed under the name uncultured Russula. Its description in RNAcentral is "partial 18S ribosomal RNA". RNAcentral also lists the same sequence under 1 other name. Lineage: Eukaryota; Fungi; Basidiomycota; Agaricomycetes; Russulales; Russulaceae. The record is from RNAcentral.
AGUUCGUAGUGACCUGCGGAGGAUCAUUA